Equus caballus (horse) is the source of this 6444-nucleotide non-coding RNA. The record is from RefSeq and is a predicted model, not a curated record. NCBI's taxonomy places the organism in Eukaryota, Metazoa, Chordata, Mammalia, Perissodactyla, Equidae.
GGGGAGGCAGGUCACUUCCUGCUUCCUGGUGCCUGCCUUGGCUUGGUGGCCAGGGGUGCAGAGACACCUCCUCUUUCUCCGCCGGCCCCGCACGGGGGAAACUGAGGCAGAUCGGGGGUGGGGCAGUCAGAUGGGGAUCGAAGAGGGAGAAUUGCUGUUCGUGUCAAAGCUAAAGUUGAUUGAGGUUGGAGCAUGGGGACUGGGGAGGUUAGCCGGAGUUGUCCCUUGGUCGGAAACCCAGCCCCUUUGGCUGAGUGGAGCUUUGGUCGGGAGCCCAGCCCCUCCGUAGCCCAAGCGAUCGAAGCCUGUGUUCUGAACAUCUGAACAGUGGUGGUGAGAGGAGCCGAGGCCCCGGGAGACGGAGAAGGGACGGAAAAGUGAAGUUGGAAGGAGGUGUUCCACGUUCGCAGAAAGUUUGUUACUUUGUAUAGCACUUAAAAGUACAAAGUAAGAAAAUUGAAGUCAAAGACCAUGGGAGAUGCAGUGAAACCUUAUUUUAUGAAGCGUGCUAAAGACCGAGGGAAUAUAGAUGAUGAAGAUUUCAGAAGGGGUCACCCCCAGCAAGAUUAUUUAACAAUGGAUGAUUAUGCUAAAGGCCACAGCGGUAAAAUGGAAAAAGGCCUUCCAAAAAAAAAAAUAUCACCAGGAAACUAUGGGAAUACCCCCAGAAAAGGACCAUAUGCUGUUUCCAGCAAUCCAUAUGCAUUUAAAAACCCAAUUUAUAGUCAACCUGCUUGGAUAAAUGACAACCACAAAGAUCAGAGUAAGAGAUGGCUAUCUGAUGAACUUGCUGGUAAUUCGGACAGUUGGAGAGAAUUCAAACCUGGACCUAGAAUUCCUAUUAUAAACCGACCAAGGAAAGACUUGUUUCAAGAAAGUGAAGAUGGAUAUAGGUGGCAAGAUGGAAGAGGCUGCAGAACUGUAAGACGAUUAUUUCAUAAAGACCUGACAAGCCUAGAAACCAUGUCAGAAAUGGAAACAGGAAGCCCUGAAAACAAGAAGCAGAGGUCCAGACCUAGGAAGCCACGGAGGACCAGAAAUGAGGAAAAUGAGCAGGACGGAGACCUGGAAGGCCCUGUGAUCGAUGAAUCUGCGCUUUCGACCAAGGAGCUCCUGGGCUUACAGCAGGCCGAGGAGCGGCUGAAGAGAGACUGCAUUGACAGGCUGAAAAGGAAGCCAAGAAACUACCCUACAGCAAAGUACACCUGCAAACUUUGUGAUGUUUUAAUUGAAUCCAUUGCAUUUGCCCAUAAGCAUAUCAAAGAGAAGAGGCACAAGAAAAAUAUUAAGGAGAAGCAGGAGGAAGAGUUGCUCACUACGUUACCCCCGCCUACACCCUCCCAGAUAAAUGCAGUUGGUAUUGCCAUUGAGAAAGUGGUGCAGGAGUUUGGCUUACACAAUGAGAACUUGGAACAGAGACUAGAAAUUAAACGUAUCAUGGAAAAUGUGUUCCAACACAAGUUACCAGAUUGUUCUCUGAGAUUAUAUGGGUCAUCCUGUAGCAGAUUGGGUUUCAAAAAUUCAGAUGUAAACAUUGACAUUCAAUUCCCAGCCAUUAUGUCUCAGCCGGAUGUUCUCUUACUUGUUCAAGAAUGCUUAAAGAACAGUGACUCUUUUCUUGAUGUUGAUGCGGAUUUCCAUGCGAGGGUGCCAGUGGUGGUGUGCAGAGAAAAGCACAGUGGUCUUCUUUGCAAAGUGAGUGCAGGAAAUGAAAAUGCUUGCCUCACAACGAAUCAUUUAACUGCCCUUGGAAAGCUAGAAUCAAGGCUGGUUCCUUUGGUGAUUGCAUUUAGGUACUGGGCAAAGCUUUGCAGUAUAGAUCGCCCUGAAGAAGGAGGUUUGCCACCUUAUGUGUUUGCUCUGAUGGCCGUUUUCUUUCUUCAACAGAGGAAGGAACCCCUUCUGCCUGUUUAUCUAGGAUCAUGGAUUGAAGGAUUCUCAUUAAACAAACUAGGAAACUUCAACCUUAAAGACAUUCAGAAAGACGUUGUGCUUUGGGAAUACAGUGAUAAUGCUGCAGAGGACACAGACACAGCAAAAGAAGAGGCACCAAAAGAAGUGCCCGUUAAAAGGGGACAGGUAUCAUUAACAUUCGAUUUAAAACACCAGCCUUCCGUACCAGUUGGGCAGCUCUGGGUGGAGUUGCUUCGAUUCUAUGCCUUAGAGUUUAAUUUGGCUGAUUUAGUGAUAAGCAUCCGUGUCAAAGAAUCAAUAUCUCGUGAAUCGAAGGAUUGGCCCAAAAAGCGCAUUGCUAUUGAAGAUCCAUACUCUGUUAAAAGAAAUGUGGCAAGGACCCUAAAUAAUCAACCCGUGUUUGAAUAUAUACUUCAUUGUUUAAGGACAACAUAUAAAUAUUUUGCUCUUCCACAUAAAAUUACAAAAUCCAGCCUUCCAAAGCCUCUGAGUACUGUUAUGUGCAUUUCCGAACAUUCUAAAGAAGUAGCAAAGCGUGAUCCAGCUGUGCAAGUAAAAGAUGAUAGGCUCAAAAACUCAAUUUUAGCUCAAGGUUCUGGUGCUGCCAGUUCAACUGCAAACACCUGCAAGGUACAGUCACUUACUCCUAAAGGGACUGCUGCGAGCUUUGAAAGCCCGCCAACACAGGAAAUGGGAAAUGCACACGUCAGUGUCCAUCUGGAAAACUCAGAUUGUAUCAAGGCAGAGGUCGGUUGUGAUGAUUAUGAAGAUAUUAAAGUACACCAUCAAGAAACAGGAGGUAAAACUGGGAAAGAAAAAAUUAAAAGGGAGAGCAAGAAGCAUCUUCUGACUGCCACCAUUCAAGCUUUAAGCAGUAGCAAACAUGGAGAGCUUGUCAUGUGUGGCAGCACACAAAAUGAUGACACAGACAGCACUUUGGAUUUAGAAGGCUUCCAAAAUCCUACGGCUAAAGAGUGUGAUGGAUAUGCUUCUUUAGAUGGCAAGGCUGAUGUUGAUGAAGAAAGCAUGGAAGGUACUGAUGAUCUCGAAGACACGCUAAGCCACUUUGCCCCUUCAAGACAGGGCAGGACGUCAGGAAUCAUUCACUCCGAUGAAGAGGAGGAGGAGGAAGAAGAGGAGGAGGAGGAUGAAGAACCCAGGCUCUCUGUUACCCGAAGGGAAGAUGAGGAUGAUAUUGCUAAUGAAGAUGAGUUAGACAAUAUCUACACUGGAUCAGGGGAUGAAGAUGCCUUGUCUGAAGAGGAUGAGGAAUUAGGCAGGUCUGCUAAGUAUGAAGACUUGAAACAAAGUGGAAAACAUGUAGAUGGAGCUCUACUAAUGGAACUUAAUAAAAUCAGUCUUAAAGAAGAAAACGUACAUGAGGAAAAUUCAGCUGUGCAUCAGUCUGAUUUCUUCUAUGAAUUUAGUAAACUCACCUUCACCAAAGGCAAGUCUCCUAUGGUAGUAUGCAGUUUAUGCAAACGAGAGGGUCAUCUAAAGAAGGACUGUCCCGAAGACUUCAAAAGAAUCCAGCUGGAACCUUUGCCACCAUUAACACCCAAAUUUUCAAAUAUCUUAGAUCAAGUUUGCAUCCAGUGUUAUAAGGAUUUUUCUCCAACUAUUUUAGAAGAUCAGGCUCGUGAACAUAUUCGGCAAAACCUAGAAAGUUUCAUAAGACAGGAGUUUCCAGGAACUAAAUUGAGCUUGUUUGGCUCCUCCAAAAAUGGAUUUGGGUUCAAACAGAGUGACCUUGACGUCUGUAUGACAAUUAAUGGACUUGAAACUGCUGAGGGAUUGGACUGUGUACGAACUAUUGAAGAAUUGGCAAGAGUCCUCAAAAAACAUUCAGGUCUGAGAAACAUCUUGCCUAUUACCACAGCAAAGGUGCCAAUUGUAAAGUUCUUCCAUUUGAGAAGUGGGCUGGAAGUGGACAUCAGUUUGUAUAACACAUUGGCCCUUCAUAACACAAGGCUCUUAUCUGCUUAUUCAGCCAUUGAUCCCAGAGUGAAAUAUUUGUGCUAUACCAUGAAAGUAUUUACAAAGAUGUGCGACAUUGGUGACGCGUCAAGAGGCAGCUUGUCGUCCUAUGCAUACACGCUUAUGGUGCUCUAUUUCCUCCAGCAGAGGAACCCGCCAGUCAUUCCUGUCCUUCAGGAGAUAUACAGAGGUGAAAAGAAACCUGAAAUAUUUGUUGAUGGCUGGAAUAUUUAUUUUUUUGAUCAAAUAGAUGAACUGCCCUCCUAUUGGCCAGAAUAUGGAAAAAAUACAGAAUCUGUUGGGCAGCUAUGGUUGGGUCUUCUUCGUUUCUACACAGAGGAAUUUGAUUUUAAAGAACAUGUUAUUAGCAUCAGGAGAAAAAGUCUGCUUACAACUUUUAAGAAACAGUGGACUUCAAAAUACAUUGUUAUUGAAGAUCCUUUUGAUUUGAAUCAUAAUCUUGGAGCUGGAUUAUCAAGGAAAAUGACAAAUUUUAUAAUGAAAGCAUUUAUUAAUGGUAGAAGAGUAUUCGGUAUUCCAGUCAAAGGAUUUCCAAAGGACUACCCCUCAAAAAUGGAGUACUUUUUUGAUCCAGAUGUGCUAACUGAAGGAGAGCUGGCCCCAAAUGAUAGAUGUUGCCGAAUUUGUGGGAAAAUUGGACACUUCAUGAAGGAUUGUCCUAUGAGGAGAAAAGUGAGGCGGCGGCGAGAUCAGGAUGAUACCCUGAACCAAAGAUACCCUGAGAACAAAGAGAAAAGAAGCAAAGAGGACAAGGAAAUUCAGAACAAGUACACAGAGAGGGAGGCAUCAACAAAGGAAGAUAAACCCGCACAGUGCACCCCUCAGAAAGCCAAGCCAGUGAGGGCAGCCGGCGACCUGGGGAGAGAGAGACUUCUCAGGCCACCGGCGGAGAAAUGGAAGAGGCAGGACGACAAAGACUUAAGAGAAAAGCGCUGUUUUAUUUGUGGAAGAGAAGGGCACAUUAAAAAGGAAUGCCCACAGUUUAAAGGCUCUGCAGGCUACCCUCAGAAGAACUCAAGGUCUGUGUUUACUCAUAGCAUGAAGUACAUUAUCACUGUGUUCCUCUCUGGUACGGCCAAGUGGGGAAGGAAUGCCCCUGCGCUCCCCCAGCUUUCAUGGAUUUCUUCCUUCCAGCUAGUAGCUAAGUUGUCUACUAGUGACGCCGCUCAAAAUACAGCAGUGAUUCUGGCAGGCGGGGGGCAGCAAUCCAAGAGAGAGGGGGUAUCUUGGGGUGGGGGCGGGGUGUUAUCAAACCUAAAGGAGAGCGCUAGAGUCUUGGUUUCUUCAGAAUGCAGUAGUUCCACAUUGUCAAGUAGUUAUCAUAUUAGAAAAGUAAAGUAAGACGGGAGGAGUGGGGCUGGAGUAGGGUGGACUUCCUCCAGCAGCAAUUCAAAAUAAUCAGCUGCUUCUUCCUGUCUGAAAAUUGUGCUGCUCCCUCAUUUCUUCAAAUGUGUUAUUUUUUUGUCCACAUGAUAUAUACUGAGUGGAGCUUCUGUAACAUCAGCAGAAAGUCUUUCUGUGGAAGUGGGAAAACGGCCAGUGCUUUCAGUUUAAAGUAGGAACAAAAAGUGCUGAUUUCUUUCUCAGGUUUGUCUAAAUCAGAUUGUGUGUUUGGAUCCCCUUCGUCAGCUAGCCCUUUGAGACCAGCUGGCACGUUUGUCCAGGCAGUGCUUUUACAUGAAGACAAAAAGAAACAAAAAACAACUGUAUUUUUGAGUCCCCAGUCAGGUAGCCUUUCCAGUAAAUAUAUGACUCAGGGAAAAGCCUCAGCGAAGAGGACCCAGCAGGAAUCAUGAGGGAAGGAAAUGCAGCACUCUCAGUGGCCACUCGGGCGUGCCUGUUCACUUUGAAAAUUAGGUUCAUUUCACAGGACACAGCAGCGUAGAUCAGGCUUCAACUUAAUAUUUAAGGGAAAUGUCAGAUUUUUUUAACUUAAUGAAAUUGUUAAUGAGGAAAAAAAAUUUUAAUAUAAUCUUACCUACCACAAAUCCCCAUAGAUUCAAGGAUUUUAAUGGAAAGCCAUGACGUAUGUAUUUAAGCCAGGUUUAAAAAAAAAAGUUAACUAUGGGCCAGUAUUUACUGAAUACAAUUUCAUGGUUUUUAAUUCUUUCAAAGCACACUGAGAAUGGUGUGCUGAUAAACCCCAAGGAAUUAACCCUUUUUUCCCCUAUAAAUCCCUUUUGUUUUGAAGAGGGGAAAUUAUAUUUAUUGUUGUUUACUGAAUCCUUGUGUGAAAGCGUAUCAAAUAUGUGUGAACUGCUACUACUGUAUUUACAAUUUACAAACUUUAUUUUAUUGAUAUUUGUAGAAGUGAUAACGAACAUGAGUACCUAUUUAUGUGAGCCUUCCAUGGAUGAGCAGUGCCACUGAGGGGCUUGUGUUUUUCCCUCUCUAAUUUUAAGUGAGUUGACAUAUAAGUACUAUGCUCAUAAAAAUGAAGUAAGGAAAACAAGUCGUCCUGUUUGCUGCUAAAAACAUUUUCAAAGGAAAAAUGACAAAAUAAAAGUGCUUUUUACUUUUUAUGAUAUUCAA